This 386-nucleotide unclassified non-coding RNA is filed under the name soil metagenome. RNAcentral's name for it is "partial contains 5.8S ribosomal RNA, internal transcribed spacer 2, and large subunit ribosomal RNA". The stretch from base 1 to 122 matches the Rfam family "5.8S ribosomal RNA", at positions 35 to 154 of the family's 154-position model. The record is from RNAcentral.
GAUGAAGAACGUAGCGAAAUGCGAUACUUGGUGUGAAUUGCAGAAUCCCGCGAAUCAUCGAGUUUUUGAACGCAAGUUGCGCCCGAAGCCAUUCGGCCGAGGGCACGUCUGCCUGGGUGUCACGCAUCGUUGCCCCCCCAAACUCCGGUUCGGGCGGGGCGGAAGUUGGCCUCCCGUGCGUGCCUGCGCGCGCGGUUAGCCCAAAAGCGAGUCCUCGGCGACGAGCGCCACGACAAUCGGUGGUUGCGAAACCUCGGUUGCCCGUCGUGUGCGGUCGUCGCGCAUCGAGGGCUCGAAAAAAUUGCCGGGCUCUGUUUCGGCUUUCAACGCGACCCCAGGUCAGGCGGGGUUACCCGCUGAAUUUAAGCAUAUCAAUAAGCGGAGGA